UGAACCUACAGAAGGAUCAUUA
RNAcentral lists this ribosomal RNA (22 nucleotides) under Microcycas calocoma. Its description in RNAcentral is "partial 18S rRNA". The record is from RNAcentral. Lineage: Eukaryota; Viridiplantae; Streptophyta; Cycadopsida; Cycadales; Zamiaceae.